CCAAAUUCUGAAAAUUUCAGACCCCCACAACUCAGAAACUAUUUGAGCUACAGGCCUACAAUUUUGCAUAGAAAGUACUUUAGUGACUAUCUAAUGGAAUGCAAAUUUCAGACUAAUUUGAAAAUGGUGCAGCAACACCCCCAAGGAAUAUCUGGUCAUUUCACCUGGAAUUACCCUACAGUUUCCCGUAGCUGAGAUGGUGUGCUUGAGCUGCAGUGAUUAGAGAACCAGCAGUGGGGACUUCACAGAUCUGCACUCUCUAAAGGAAGCAACGGCAUAGAGUGACAUCCAAGCCAUUUUAGGGCAGGGAGAGGUUAAUUUCAUGUAAAACAUAGAACUGUGAGGGUUUAAGGGUUUACUCAACGACUGGAGAGGUGCUUAAUGUUUCCUUCACCAUAGGGGGACUUGGACUCUUCAUAGACUUUAAUGUCUGGCCAAAUUCCAUAAACUGGCAAGUAAAACCUUGGUUUGGGAGGUUAAAAAAAAAAACUCCCAAAAAAUCCCCCCAAAAAAUUUCUUUGUAAUUAUGGAUAAACAUGUGGAAUUAAUAGUAAGUAAAAAGUAUUUUUAAUUUGUCUCAAAUUAGUCAGACAACUCCUCUGUCAUGACUUACACCUACGAUUUUUGCCUUCAGAACUGCUUUAGUUUUUUGUGGCAUAAAUUGAACAAGAUGCCGGAAACAUUUCUUCAGCGAAUUUGGUCCACAUUGACAUGAUGGCAUCAUACAACUGUUGCAGAUUCACCUUAGUGAUGCCAAUUCGUGAUUCCACCAUGUCCCAAAGGUGAACUGAGCUCUGGUGACCGUUGCUAGCUCCUUCAAUGCCACCUGUUUUGUGAUUCCACUCUGGAAUGUGGAUGCGGCUAAUAUCUGACCAUGCUGAAAUCGUGUGCUGCCAUCUCCUGCACCAGUCGAUUUGAGCGUGGCUGUCAUAAGCAAGUGGCUCUUUUAUUUGGGACAUUCUGCCUCAAAUUUGCUCUGCUUCUUUGUUUGCAAACAGAAACUCCUUCUGACCUUGUCUUGAGUGCUGCACUCAGCCAGUUUAGCUGAAUCACUAACUGUACAGUGUAAGUUGGUGUGACUAUCAGUAUUCAAUGACAGUCACAGUGCAUCAUUGUCUAUGGAUGUAUUAUAAUAUGCCACACAUUUCAGGUUUCCCAAGCAGUCCAAGGACAGCACACUGAGAGAGCAACAGGCCAUCAGUAGAGAAGCGGUGGGGACCAAGAGGAGAUGGAUACCGGGGGAUCAUAAUUAUGUAUGCAGCAACCAUUUCAGGGAGGAGGACUUCAUCCUCUCAAAACAUGCGCAACACAAGCUUCUCAGGCCAGGGGCUGUACCAUCCCUCAAUUUGGGGAAACCAGAGAAAAAGGUUAUGUUCCUUAAUUGUUAAUGGUUGCUCAUUAUUUCAAUUUAGUACUUUUCUUUUCUUGUCAGCUUUACUAAAACAGUUCUAUUUAGAAAUCAGUGACAAAGGUGUGCACAUGCAGUGCUAUUAAAAAAAGUCACAAAGAGGACAAGUUUAACCUAUGACUAUGAAAUUUGCCAUGCAUAUGUCAGUGUGAACAAAAAUGUCUUUUGGAGUCAUGUUCUGAAUGCAACAGGAAGUCUGUCAUUUUGAAGUGGAUGUCAGAUUUUGGUCAUUUUCAGCAAUUAAUUCUUCACAGGUGGUAACUCCACAACACCUGAAAUUGGGACAUAUAUACAACACGCAUUUAGGUUGAAUAUUUAUGAAAAUUGCAAAUUAGACUCAAAGGGUGUGGCCAGAGGGGCUGACUGAACUUUGAUGGUUCAUCAUGAAGCAUGAUGUGCUGUAUAAAUGCCGCCUACAUACUGCAGUCUGCCUGAAAGUUUAUGUGAUUGAUCACAGUCCUGCAGUGAUGACAUCCAUAUGCCAAUGUGCACUCAGUCAUAGCAUCACCUGCUGUAGAGGAAAUAACAUGUUUUACACUUUAAUGUUGUACUAUACUUUUAAUAAAUUUAUCUGUACUUUUUUCAUUUACUUUAAAUUAACUUCUUUUCUAUUUGUUGUUGCAAUUAGUGUCUUACAUGCUUUUAUUUUUUCCAUUUCUUUUCUUUCUUUGGCUGUUUUACUCAAUCAGUUUUAAUUAUUCUAGAAAUGAGUGUCCAUUGUAUUCAAUGAACCUUUUCUGAUUAAAGUGACUUCAUUUUUUAUUACACUACUUACUUUAUUUUUUACAUUUUACUCUGAAAAACCUCUGUGUAUGUUAAGGUACUCCAUAAAUAAUGCUACUUGAUUUCUUGCUCAAGAACUUUUUUGCAAGCUGUUCUUGUUGACGUGUUUGUGGAACUUUCAUAAAAGUUCUUUGACA
Molecule: long non-coding RNA, 2328 nt
Organism: Acanthochromis polyacanthus (spiny chromis)
Lineage: Eukaryota; Metazoa; Chordata; Actinopteri; Pomacentridae
Exons: 2
Source: RefSeq, a predicted model, not a curated record